Molecule: ribosomal RNA, 460 nt
Filed under: uncultured bacterium
Lineage: Bacteria
Description: partial 16S ribosomal RNA
Rfam family: Bacterial small subunit ribosomal RNA
Source: RNAcentral
CCUACGGGAGGCAGCAGUGAGGAAUAUUGGUCAAUGGGCGCGAGCCUGAACCAGCCAAGUAGCGUGAAGGAUGAAUGCCCUACGGGUUGUAAACUUCUUUUAUAAAGGAAUAAAGUGAGGCACGUGUGCCAUUUUGUCUGUACUUUUUGAAUAAAGAUCGGCUAACUCCGUGCCAGCAGCCGCGGUAAUACGGAGGAUCCGAGCGUUAUCCGGAUUUAUUGGGUUUAAAGGGAGCGUAGAUGGGUUGUUAAGUCAGUUGUGAAAGUUUGCGGCUCAACCGUAAAAUUGCAAUUGAUACUGGCAGGCUUGAGUGCAGUUGAGGUAGGCGGAAUUCGUGGUGUAGCGGUGAAAUGCGUAGAUAUCACGAAGAACUCCGAUUGCGAAGGCAGCUUACUAAACUGCCACUGACAUUGAUGCUCGAAAGUGUGGGGAGCAAACAGGAUUAGAUACCCUAGUAGUC